GAGGAAUAUUGGUCAAUGGGCGAGAGCCUGAACCAGCCAAGUAGCGUGCAGGAUGACGGCCCUAUGGGUUGUAAACUGCUUUUAUGUGGGGAUAAAGCGAGCUACGUGUAGUUUAUUGCAGGUACCACAUGAAUAAGGACCGGCUAAUUCCGUGCCAGCAGCCGCGGUAAUACGGAAGGUCCAGGCGUUAUCCGGAUUUAUUGGGUUUAAAGGGAGCGUAGGCCGUGGAUUAAGCGUGUUGUGAAAUGUAGACGCUCAACGUCUGAAUUGCAGCGCGAACUGGUUCACUUGAGUAUGCACAACGUAGGCGGAAUUCGUCGUGUAGCGGUGAAAUGCUUAGAUAUGACGAAGAACUCCGAUUGCGAAGGCAGCUUACGGGAGCACAACUGACGCUGAAGCUCGAAGGUGCGGGUAUCAAACAGGAUUAGAUACCCUGGUAGUCCGCACAGUAAACGAUGGAUGCCCGUUGUUAGUUCACUUUAGAAUUAGCGACCAAGCGAAAGCAUUAAGCAUCCCACCUGGGGAGUACGCCGGCAACGGUG
Molecule: ribosomal RNA, 542 nt
Filed under: uncultured bacterium
Lineage: Bacteria
Description: bacterial SSU rRNA
Rfam family: Bacterial small subunit ribosomal RNA
Source: RNAcentral